GACGAACGCUGGCGGCGUGCUUAACACAUGCAAGUCGAACGAUGAAGCCGGAGCUUGCUCUGGUGAAUUAGUGGCGAACGGGUGAGUAACACGUGAGUAACCUGCCCUUGACUCUGGGAUAACUGCUAGAAAUGGUAGCUAAUACCGGGUACGACCCUCGGAGGCAUCUCCAGGGGGUGGAAAGAAUUUCGGUCAAGGAUGGACUCGCGGCCUAUCAGCUAGUUGGUGAGGUAACGACUAACCAAGGCGACGACGGGUAGCCGGCCUGAGAGGGUGACCGGCCACACUGGGACUGAGACACGGCCCAGACUCCUACGGGAGGCAGCAGUGGGGAAUAUUGCACAAUGGGCGCAAGCCUGAUGCAGCAACGCCGCGUGAGGGAUGACGGCCUUCGGGUUGUAAACCUCCUUUAGUAGGGAAGAAGCGAAAGUGACGGUACCUGCAGAAAAAGCACCGGCUAACUACGUGCCAGCAGCCGCCGCCG
RNAcentral lists this ribosomal RNA (484 nucleotides) under uncultured bacterium. RNAcentral describes it as "partial 16S ribosomal RNA". It matches the Rfam family "Bacterial small subunit ribosomal RNA", at positions 28 to 523 of the family's 1533-position model. The record is from RNAcentral.